RNAcentral lists this ribosomal RNA (292 nucleotides) under uncultured bacterium. RNAcentral describes it as "partial 16S ribosomal RNA". It matches the Rfam family "Bacterial small subunit ribosomal RNA", at positions 505 to 796 of the family's 1533-position model. The record is from RNAcentral.
GUGUCAGCAGCCGCGGUAAUACAGAGGCCCCAAGCGUUACUGAGAAUCACUGGGUUUAAAGGGUGCGUAGGUGGUCCGUUAAGUUCGUUGUGAAAGCCCUGGGCUCAACCCAGGAACUGCUUCGAAUACUGGCGGACUUGAGGCCGGUAUGGGUCACUGGAACUGACGGUGGAGCGGUGAAAUGCGUAGAUAUCGUCAGGAACGCCAAUGGUGAAGACAGGUGACUGGGCCGGAUCUGACACUGAGGCACGAAAGCGUGGGGAGCGAACGGGAUUAGAAACCCGCGUAGUCC